RNAcentral lists this long non-coding RNA (1406 nucleotides) under Homo sapiens (human). Its description in RNAcentral is "HSALNT0396284". Lineage: Eukaryota; Metazoa; Chordata; Mammalia; Primates; Hominidae. The record is from RNAcentral.
AGCCGGAUCUGGCUGUGGCGGGACCCGGGCCUGUCCGCUGCGACUCCGGGGUCUGGGACCCGAGUUCCCCUGGAGCAGCUCGGCCCUCGGUCCUCUCGGCCGCAGGGUGGGGCUGGGCCGGCAGCUGGGACUCCGGGAGUCCUGUCCUGUCCCUGCGCAGUGACUGUCGCCCCAGAGCCCUCUCUGGGCAGCUCCGCAUCUCCCCAGAUUGUGCGGGGGCCACGGGAGGAUCAUGGGGGGAUCCCGCCUCCGGCCUGGGGAUCCUGUGGGAGGAGCCAUGGCCUGUGGGCUCCCCAGUCCCGCCUUUCCCCCCGAAGGCGGCCCCCGCUUCUCCCUGAGUCUUCCAAAAGGUGUGCGAAGCCGGGUCUCCGCGACCCGGUCCCCCAGCCUCGCUCCCCCUUGGGCUGGCCGUAAAUCUUGUAAUGAACGUUUCCCUCCCCGCAUUCUCUAACGCCAGCGUCUCCACUGCAAUCCACAUGGUUCUCAACUGUUAGUCCCUUUGUUGUACGUUUCAAAUCGACGUGGCAUUUAAAUGAUCAUCGUUCCACAGAGCAGUGGCUGACUCUUUUAGGAAGAUUUCUUUUCUGUCACCUUUUCACAUAUAAGGAAAGGAAAGGAAAACCACAUGAAACGCCUCUGUUUACAAAAGCCUUUGUGCCGCUACUUUUAUCUUAGACACCUCAUCAGACUGCCUUUGGGUUGAGGUUCCUGUCACGCGUGUCCGUAUAGAAGACACCCAAUCAGGCUUUGUGUGAGCAACAAGGCUGUUAAUUCACUUGGGUGCAAGUGGGCUGAGUCCGAAAAGAGAGUCAGUGAAGGGAGAUAGGAGAGGGGCAGCUUUAUAGGGCUUGGGUAGGCGUGGAAAGUUACAGUUAAAGGUGGUUAUCCUCAGCAGAGGAGGGGGUCACAAGGUGCAUGGUGGAGAGAUGAUGGGACUCAUUGUCCAGGAGAAGAAUGUCACAGGGUUGAUUGAUCAGUUGGGGCAGGGCAGGAACAAGUCAUAAUGGUGGACAAGUCAUAAUGGUGGAAUGUCGUAAGGUGGGUUAAUUAGUUAAGGCAGGAACUGGCUGUUUCACUUCUUUGUGGUUUUUCGGCUGCUCCAGACUUCUUGGCUCCUGCAGGCCACCUGGACGGAUAUGUGCAGGUCACAGGGGUUACAAUGGCUAAGCUUCAGCUCACAGGCCUGACAUUUUUGUCUUUUUAUUUAUAAAAUAUGAAGUUGUAGGAAAAGAUUAAAAAAAAGUGUGUGAGUGGCGGUCUGAAUGGAGAAGUUCAAUAGUUCUGAUUGCAGAUCCUAUGCAGAAGAGAUAAUAAGGAAAAUAAUCUUUGUCUCCUGGAUUAAGCUGAGGCUGGCAAAGAGUGAAAUGUCCCAAGCCCUCUAACAACAAACAACAUACUUUGUGUUG